This is a long non-coding RNA of Rosa chinensis, 268 nucleotides long. RefSeq lists it as uncharacterized. The transcript is spliced from 2 exons. NCBI's taxonomy places the organism in Eukaryota, Viridiplantae, Streptophyta, Magnoliopsida, Rosales, Rosaceae. The record is from RefSeq and is a predicted model, not a curated record.
UCAAGAUUCAACCAUCUAGCUCUCCAUCUCCAUCUCCACUCACGGUGUGUACCCUCAAUCCCCGGAUAGAACGAUCCCUACUUACUUAUACUACUAACGACAUUUCAGGGUUAAAUUGCGCGCUUGCUUUUAAGCGCAUCAAUAAGUUAAGCUAUUCUUCUUGCAAUCCUAAAGGUUCACGACACUGUAACGUAAUCAAUUUGUGGAUGUGUAAAUUGGACCGUUACAUAUCUAAAUUUUAAUACACCAUUCCAAAUUCGUAGGAUCA